Molecule: non-coding RNA, 917 nt
Filed under: Laccaria bicolor S238N-H82
Lineage: Eukaryota; Fungi; Basidiomycota; Agaricomycetes; Agaricales; Hydnangiaceae
Description: Eukaryotic large subunit ribosomal RNA
Rfam family: Eukaryotic large subunit ribosomal RNA
Source: Rfam by way of RNAcentral
AAGCGUUGGAUUGUUCACCCACUAGACGUGUGGAUGCCUUCAAUAACCGGUGCGUUGUUUGACUGUAAGGGGCAUAUACAAAUUGUAUUUGGUAGUAAACAAUUGUAUAGCUCUUGAAAUUGAACUCUGUCGCUGGACAAUGUUGGCAUUCUUUUAUAAAACAGACUUGGUGGGAAUAGCGAUGCUAUUCAACGUAAGUGUAAUUGACGGAUAAUCGCUAGUCGACUCAGUGAAAUGUGCAGGUGCUGAGCGGCAAGAUAACCUGGAUCGGGGAAAGCUAAGGACUACUUGUAUUUUCAUGUUGUAGUCUAUGCCAAUCCCGAGCAGAGCACCCAGAGAGUGAUCUUUGGUGUUGCCUGUGUAACGCGCGGUAAGGUAUCGGUUCAUCUCUAGAAAUAGAGUGGGCUUAAGGGACGUGCUACUCCCAUUCGAAAGAAUGCUUUGUACUGGAGCGCCUGCAACGCAAAGGUAUAGAGGGUCGUGCUCUUCGGACGAGAGACUAGUAGGAAAUGACUAGUCAAGACCGGUAUAAAGGAAUAGGGAACGUGAGCUGGGUUUAGACCGUCGUGAGACAGGUUAGUUUUACCCUACUGAUGGAGUGUUAUCGUAAUAGUAAUUGAACUUAGUACGAGAGGAACCGUUCAUUCAGAUAUUUGGUAUUUGCGCCUGUCCGAUCGGGCAAUGGCGCGAAGCUAUCAUCUGCUGGAUUAUGGCUGAACGCCUCUAAGCCAGAAUCCGUGCUAGAAACGAUGAUGUUGGUCCCGCACAUUUGACUUGUGUUANAAUAGAGCUUUGCUCGUGUACCAAAUCAGGUGGACUGGGCUGUCAGUGUGGAAAUGCAUUGGCAGUUUGUUCACGAAUUGUAAUCAUUAUAUGGGCGGGGGUGAAUCCUUUGCAGACGACUUGAAUGGNNNNNN